UGGGGAAUAUUGCACAAUGGGCGCAAGCCUGAUGCAGCCAUGCCGCGUGUAUGAAGAAGGCCUUCGGGUUGUAAAGUACUUUCAGUCGGGAGGAAGGUGGUAAGGUUAAUAACCUUAUCAAUUGACGUUACCGACAGAAGAAGCACCGGCUAACUCCGUGCCAGCAGCCGCGGUAAUACGGAGGGUGCAAGCGUUAAUCGGAAUUACUGGGCGUAAAGCGCACGCAGGCGGUCUGUCAAGUCGGAUGUGAAAUCCCCGGGCUCAACCUGGGAACUGCAUUCGAAACUGGCAGGCUAGAGUCUUGUAGAGGGGGGUAGAAUUCCAGGUGUAGCGGUGAAAUGCGUAGAGAUCUGGAGGAAUACCGGUGGCGAAGGCGGCCCCCUGGACGAAGACUGACGCUCAGGUGCGAAAGCGUGGGGAGCAAACAGG
RNAcentral lists this ribosomal RNA (429 nucleotides) under Chloroflexota bacterium. Its description in RNAcentral is "Chloroflexi bacterium partial 16S ribosomal RNA". It matches the Rfam family "Bacterial small subunit ribosomal RNA", at positions 355 to 776 of the family's 1533-position model. Lineage: Bacteria; Bacillati; Chloroflexota. The record is from RNAcentral.